Molecule: ribosomal RNA, 497 nt
Filed under: uncultured bacterium
Lineage: Bacteria
Description: partial 16S ribosomal RNA
Rfam family: Bacterial small subunit ribosomal RNA
Source: RNAcentral
GAUGAACGCUGGCGGCGUGCCUAAUACAUGCAAGUCGAGCGAACAGACGAGGAGCUUGCUCCUCUGACGUUAGCGGCGGACGGGUGAGUAACACGUGGAUAACCUACCUAUAAGACUGGGAUAACUUCGGGAAACCGGAGCUAAUACCGGAUAAUAUAUUGAACCGCAUGGUUCAAUAGUGAAAGACGGUUUUGCUGUCACUUAUAGAUGGAUCCGCGCCGCAUUAGCUAGUUGGUAAGGUAACAGCUUACCAAGGCAACGAUGCGUAGCCGACCUGAGAGGGUGAUCGGCCACACUGGAACUGAGACACGGUCCAGACUCCUACGGGAGGCAGCAGUAGGGAAUCUUCCGCAAAGGGCGAAAGCCUGACGGAGCAACGCCGCGUGAGUGAUGAAGGUCUUCGGAUCGUAAAACUCUGUUAUUAGGGAAGAACAAAUGUGUAAGUAACUAUGCACGUCUUGACGGUACCUAAUCAGAAAGCCACGGCUAGCUACGUG